AUACGGAGGGUGCAAGCGUUACUCGGAAUCACUGGGCGUAAAGCGCGCGCAGGCGGCUUGAUAAGUUGGAUGUGAAAGCCUACGGCUCAACCGUAGAACUGCAUCCAAAACUGUCAAGCUAGAGUCUGGGAGGGGAAGAUGGAAUUAGUUGUGUAGGGGUAAAAUCCGUAGAGAUAACUAGGAAUACCAAAAGCGAAGGCGAUCUUCUGGAACAGUACUGACGCUGAGGCGCGAAAGCCAGGGGAGCGAACCGGAGUAGAUACCCGAGUAGUCC
RNAcentral lists this ribosomal RNA (274 nucleotides) under uncultured bacterium. RNAcentral describes it as "partial 16S ribosomal RNA". It matches the Rfam family "Bacterial small subunit ribosomal RNA", at positions 523 to 796 of the family's 1533-position model. The record is from RNAcentral.